CCAGACUCCUACGGGAGGCAGCAGUGAGGAAUAUUGGUCAAUGGCCGAGAGGCUGAACCAGCCAAGUCGCGUGAGGGAUGACGGCCCUACGGGUUGUAAACCUCUUUUGUCGGGGAGCAAAGAGAGUCACGUGUGGCUCAUUGAGAGUACCCGAAGAAAAAGCAUCGGCUAACUCCGUGCCAGCAGCCGCGGUAAUACGGAGGAUGCGAGCGUUAUCCGGAUUUAUUGGGUUUAAAGGGUGCGUAGGCGGGAUGCCAAGUCAGCGGUAAAAAUGCGGUGCUCAACGCCGUCGAGCCGUUGAAACUGGCGUUCUUGAGUGGGCGAGAAGUAUGCGGAAUGCGUGGUGUAGCGGUGAAAUGCAUAGAUAUCACGCAGAACUCCGAUUGCGAAGGCAGCAUACCGGCGCCCUACUGACGCUGAGGCACGAAAGCGUGGGUAUCGAACAGGAUUAGAUACCCGUGUA
This 463-nucleotide ribosomal RNA is filed under the name uncultured bacterium. RNAcentral describes it as "bacterial SSU rRNA". It matches the Rfam family "Bacterial small subunit ribosomal RNA", at positions 331 to 792 of the family's 1533-position model. The record is from RNAcentral.